GCAGACACAUUCCAGCCAAUCAGCAGCAGACCCUCCCUCCCAGACCCUCCCACCUCCUAGACAACAUCCAUUUUACAUUCAUUGUGAAGCUGCAUUCUUAGUGAGCUGUCAAGGAGGUGGGAGGGUCUGGGAGGGAGGGUCUGCUGCUGAUUGGCUGGAAUGUGUCUG
RNAcentral lists this microRNA precursor (168 nucleotides) under Pelobates cultripes (western spadefoot toad). Lineage: Eukaryota; Metazoa; Chordata; Amphibia; Anura; Pelobatidae. The record is from RNAcentral.